CAGAGGCAUCCCAUGGGAGUUGGAAACUGAAGCAUGGUAGAGAAAUUCAUCAUGGGAGGGAGGAGCUGAAAACCUGAGCAGAGUGUAAGAUCCAAGAGGUCAUGGGCCUUUUUCUUUCUUUCUUUGCCAUGUUAUCUCCAACAUCUGGAACAGAGUCUGGCACAAAGGCUUCCGUGAAUUUGGAGAUUUUCCUGAGCUGGGAGGUGACCAAACAUAUCUACUCCUUUGAUCUCAACACUUCCUGAAAAACAGAUACUAACAACCAAGAUUUUCAGAGAGGCAAGGCUAAGCACCAGCCAGCUAUAAAAUAUCCCAAAUUGUCUGGGCCACAGUAAGAGAAGCUUUGGUGCUUUCAGCCACCCGGGCCGUCUAAGUUGUCCAGAUCUUCCAACACAGACCCCAUGCCUAAUGCAUCCCUGCUUCACAAGCUGAUCCCCAGAGGAAGAACUGUACCAAACCAUCCAGGUCCUCCAUCUUCCAACCCCAAAAUUCAUCCAGAAUGUACCAGGAUGGGGCCUAGAAGUCAACUUCAAACUUUGAUCUUCAAUCCUACAAACAAUGAUCAUCUCAGAAAACUUAGGGCAAAAGUAAAUAUGCAUGGAUUUACAAAAAUCUCACUCUUUCACCCAAGUUCUUUUUUAGUAGGCAUUACAAAAAACUGGCCAGAAAUCCCACCCUGGGAAAUCUAAUAGAAAUAAAAGCUCUUAUACAUAAGG
Long non-coding RNA from Pan troglodytes (chimpanzee), 716 nucleotides. RefSeq lists it as uncharacterized. The transcript has 6 exons. Lineage: Eukaryota; Metazoa; Chordata; Mammalia; Primates; Hominidae. The record is from RefSeq and is a predicted model, not a curated record.